RNAcentral lists this ribosomal RNA (433 nucleotides) under uncultured bacterium. RNAcentral describes it as "partial 16S ribosomal RNA". It matches the Rfam family "Bacterial small subunit ribosomal RNA", at positions 29 to 507 of the family's 1533-position model. The record is from RNAcentral.
AACGAACGCUGGCGGCAUGCCUAACACAUGCAAGUCGAACGAUACCUUCGGGUCUAGUGGCGCACGGGUGCGUAACGCGUGGGAACCUGCCCUUAGGUUCGGAAUAACUCCCCGAAAGGGGUGCUAAUACCGGAUAAUGUCUUCGGACCAAAGAUUUAUCGCCUUUGGAUGGGCCCGCGUUGGAUUAGCUAGUUGGUAGGGUAAAAGCCUACCAAGGCGACGAUCCAUAGCUGGUCUGAGAGGAUGAUCAGCCACACUGGGACUGAGACACGGCCCAGACUCCUACGGGAGGCAGCAGUGGGGAAUAUUGGACAAUGGGCGAAAGACUGAUCCAGCAAUGCCGCGUGAGUGAUGAAGGCCUUAGGGUUGUAAAGCUCUUUUACCCGGGAUGAUAAUGACAGUACCGGGAGAAUAAGCUCCGGCUAACUCCGUG